CAAACGUGUGUACCAGGCUAUUAUCCUAGUAUGUGUUAGCUAUAUUUUUGUUUACUCACCACGUAGCCCAUUACCAACGGUAUCAGAUCCUAUGUAACCAGCAUGUGUACGGGUAUUUUUAUCGUGUAUGUGUAUCUAUCUAUACCCGUGAUUUUACCUCUACGUGUAAACGAAUUGUAAUGAAUAAAUUGCAUUGCCUUCUCAACACAAGUUUUCUGUGCAAUUCAGGAAUCUGGGUUAUCUUUGAUCUGUAUCUCUAUUUUGUUUAUGAUUCUUAUUGAACAUCAAAUUGCCAUCGAUUUUUCUACAAUGUAAUUAGGAGACACGUACAUAGGUUGCGUCAACGGGCUUUUUUUUAUUGGGCCUUAGCCAGAACAUGUUGUAUGAUCGAUUUGGCCCAUGUAGUCUAUUUUAUAUUAAAAUAGUUCACGGAAAUCAAUAUUUUUUAUUUGUUUGUAUUUUUUUUUCCGUUUAUUCAUCACAUUCGCUUGCUACGCUGGAUUGCCACUGUGGCCGCAUAACAUGUUAUAGUCAAUUGAAGCAAAAAAUAAAACAAAGAAGUUGGAUAAAUCCUUCCAUGCUUCUAUUGUGAUCAAUCGUCCUGUCAUAGUGUUGCCAUGUUACAUUUAGUUCUAUUCUUUUUUUUUCAAACAGCAAAUUCUAUUUACUCAUAAUUCUUUUCUGAAAGUGAGGUUGUUCGUACGUAUACAUAUUUUAUUCACUCAGUAAAUUAUAGAAAAAAAAGAACUUAUUGCUACUCCUACUGUCUCUUCACGCAUCUCCAAUAAGAAGCGUCGUGAUACUACACCGUUGUGCAUGUUUCUAUAUGAAUUUCAACGUCCUACAAGUAAGUUUGAUCAUGGAUAACCGAGCAGAUAUACUCAUGUGAACAUGGCCGAACCAUGUGUUUAUUGUGCACUUUAAGAAAGUACUAUGAAUACAUGUCUUGAAAAUUU
Molecule: long non-coding RNA, 956 nt
Filed under: Brachypodium distachyon (stiff brome)
Lineage: Eukaryota; Viridiplantae; Streptophyta; Magnoliopsida; Poales; Poaceae
Description: long non-coding RNA (BDIS_LNC004498)
Source: RNAcentral